UCCUACCACAACCAUAUAUACAUUCUUAUUAGACUAUGAACCAUACAUUUACUUUUUACUGCUUAUGAGCAUUGAGUGUGGUCAAGCUGUGUAGACCCUUAGGAGCUUGUCAUGCCGUUAAAAUCAAGAUUCACUUGCACGUUCACUCAUACAUGUUGUUUCUACUCCGGAAGUACGCAUCCACAUACAUCCACUCAUUUCCAUCUCCAAAUGCACCCAAAAUUAUUCUACUCAUAUCCAGGAGAAAAUAGCCAAAAACAUUAUCCCAUUCCUGUUUUUUCCUAUGAAAUAAAUGCAAGGAGGGUGAAAUAAAUGCAAGGAGGGUGAAAUAAAACAUUUUGGUUACUACCACUUGCUACAUUAUUCUAGGAGGGUGAGUGCUCUGAAAAAAAAUACAAGGAAAUAAAAAGGGGCAAGUGACCGGAAACUCGAAGAAAAGGAAAAGUGAGAUGAGAGGUAAAAAUGGACGAGUGUCCGACAGUAGAAUUAGGGGUACAAGAUACCCACCUGAGAGAAAAGAAAAAGAAAAUAUAGAGCAUCUCAUUCCCCUCAAAAGUCUCAAGUGCAAGGAAGGUAUGUACCCCCUCAAAAGAGCAAAAGUAGAAUUAAACUUUCACCAUUGUUAUCACCAUCAUCACCAUUAUCACCAUUCGUUCGCCACACAUGCACAUCUUGAUUUGACUUAUUGACUUGUUCUUCUGGAUCCAUGGUUUGACUAUGCAAUAAAUGUCUUGUAAGUAUGGAUGCUUUAUCUCCCACCUAUGAGCUCCAGAUAUCAAAACCUUAUUAGAGUAGGGUGAGAGAGAAGACAUAUACCAUCACUGCCUUGGUAAGGAUCCAGAAAUACCACAAAAGAGAGAUCUGAGAGAGUCAUACAAAGGAAUCUUUGAGAUUUAUUUGAAAAUCUAUAAAAACUCCAGAGCUAUAGCUGAUCAAGAAUAAGAGACAUGACGCUCGACUAGACCGUUCUAUCUUCUAACUAAUCAAGACACAAGUGACGGUUACAAGCCCCAUGGUGGAAGGUAAUAUGAGUAAGUUUAAAUCUUAACAGUUUACCCUAACCCA
This 1065-nucleotide long non-coding RNA is filed under the name Sorghum bicolor (sorghum). RNAcentral's name for it is "long non-coding RNA (SBIC_LNC004630)". The record is from RNAcentral. Lineage: Eukaryota; Viridiplantae; Streptophyta; Magnoliopsida; Poales; Poaceae.